RNAcentral lists this ribosomal RNA (479 nucleotides) under uncultured Alteromonadales bacterium. RNAcentral's name for it is "bacterial SSU rRNA". It matches the Rfam family "Bacterial small subunit ribosomal RNA", at positions 30 to 505 of the family's 1533-position model. The record is from RNAcentral. Lineage: Bacteria; Pseudomonadati; Pseudomonadota; Gammaproteobacteria; Alteromonadales.
AUUGAACGCUGGCGGCAGGCCUAACACAUGCAAGUCGAGCGCGAAAGCCCUUCGGGGUGAUUAGAGCGGCGGACGGGUGAGUAAUGCUUGGGAAUCUACCUAGUAGUGGGGGACAACAGUUGGAAACGACUGCUAAUACCGCAUGCGCCCUACGGGGGAAAGGGGGGGAUCUUCGGACCUCUCGCUAUUAGAUGAGCCCAAGUCGGAUUAGCUAGUUGGUGGGGUAAAGGCCCACCAAGGCGACGAUCCGUAGCUGGUUUGAGAGGAUGAUCAGCCACACUGGGACUGAGACACGGCCCAGACUCCUACGGGAGGCAGCAGUGGGGAAUAUUGCACAAUGGGCGCAAGCCUGAUGCAGCCAUGCCGCGUGUGUGAAGAAGGCUCUAGGGUUGUAAAGCACUUUAAGUUGUGAGGAAGGGGUGAUGGUUAAUAGCCAUUAUCAUUGACGUUAGCAACAGAAUAAGCACCGGCUAACUCCG